This 659-nucleotide ribosomal RNA is filed under the name uncultured archaeon. RNAcentral's name for it is "bacterial SSU rRNA". It matches the Rfam family "Archaeal small subunit ribosomal RNA", at positions 175 to 817 of the family's 1478-position model. The record is from RNAcentral.
AUGAGUCUUCGCUUAAAAGAGGCUGGGGUUAUGCUCUCCAGUUUCGCCCAAGGAUGGGGCCGCGACCGAUCAGGUUGUUGGUGAGGUAAUGGCUCACCAAGCCUUUUACCGGUGCGGGCCGUGAGAGCGGGAGCCCGGAGAUGGGCACUGAGACAAGGGCCCAGGCCCUACGGGGCGCAGCAGUCGCGAAAACUUUGCAAUAAGCGAAAGCUUGACAGGGCUAUCCCGAGUGCCAUCCGCUGAGGAAGGCUUUUACCCAGUCUAGAACGCUGGGGGAAUAAGGAGAGGGCAAGUCUGGUGUCAGCCGCCGCGGUAAUACCAGCUCUCCGAGUGGUGUGGAUGUUUAUUGGGCCUAAAGCAUCCGUAGCUGGCCAGGUUAGUCCCCUGUUAAAUCCACCGAAUUAAUCGUUGGAUUGCGGGGGAUACUGCUUGGCUAGGGGACGAGAGAGGCAGACGGUAUUUCCGGGGUAGGGGUGAAAUCCUAUAAUCCCGGGAAGACCACCAGUGGCGAAGGCUGUCUGCUAGAACGCGCCCGACGGUGAGGGAUGAAAGCUGGGGGAGCGAACCGGAUUAGAUACCCGGGUAGUCCCAGCUGUAAACGAUGCAGACUAGGUGUUUGGACGGCCACGUGCCGUUCUAGUGCCGCAGGGAAGCUGUUA